CUGCUCAAUGAUAUUUUAAAUAGCCGCAGAAUUUCUGUGCUAAGGUAGCAUAAUCAAUUGUCUAUUAAUUGUAGACUAGAAUGAAGGAAAAAAUAAUUAAAAGCUUUAAUUUUUAUAUAAAUUUAAAUUUAAAAUCAAAUAAAAAUGUUUGAAAGAAAUUUAGGGACAAGAAGACCCUAUAAAGCUUAAUAUAGAAAUAUUUAGUAAAAAUAUUAUAUAUUUAAUUGGGGCAAUUAAUUAUUUUUAAGAAAUAUAAAUAAAAUUUAUAAAUUAAUAUUUUUAGUAAGGAUCCAUAAAUUAUGAAAAAUUGAAAAAGUUACUUUAGGGAUAACAGGAUAAUUUUAUUUGAAAAGUUCUUAUUAUUAAAUUAGAUUAUUACCUCGAUGUUGAAUUAAUUUAUUAUUAUGGUGAAGAAGCUAUAAUUAUUUAACUGUUAGUUAAUUAAAAAAUUACG
This 454-nucleotide ribosomal RNA is filed under the name Purcellia sp. IZ-128897. Its description in RNAcentral is "partial 16S large subunit ribosomal RNA". The record is from RNAcentral. Lineage: Eukaryota; Metazoa; Arthropoda; Arachnida; Opiliones; Pettalidae.